ACUGUGUCUGAUGCUGAGUUUGACACUGCAAUUAAAUAAGUGGUUGUUUCAGGAAGCUGCUGGAUGAUGUGAGAGAAGGACGAGGAGGAAAGGAAGGAAGAGGAGGAGGAGGAAGAAGAGGAGGACGAUUAUAACCAACAAGAAAGAUUAUAAACAACAUGAACAGGAGAGUCAGUGUAUAAGAGAAGAGAAAUAAGUCUUAGGUUGAUAGCUUCAGCACCACUUGGAUUAGAAUAUAUUAGAAAGCUCCAGAACAGAC
Molecule: long non-coding RNA, 259 nt
Filed under: Homo sapiens (human)
Lineage: Eukaryota; Metazoa; Chordata; Mammalia; Primates; Hominidae
Description: HSALNT0018571
Source: RNAcentral